UUAAGCAUAAACGGUGAAUACCUCGAC
This 27-nucleotide unclassified non-coding RNA is filed under the name Dictyostelium discoideum. The record is from RNAcentral. Lineage: Eukaryota; Evosea; Eumycetozoa; Dictyosteliales; Dictyosteliaceae.